UACGAAGGGUGCAAGCGUUACUCGGAAUUACUGGGCGUAAAGCGUGCGUAGGUGGUUUGUUAAGUCUGAUGUGAAAGCCCUGGGCUCAACCUGGGAAUUGCAUUGGAUACUGGCAGGCUAGGGUGCGGUAGAGGAUGGCGGAAUUCCCGGUGUAGCAGUGAAAUGCGUAGAGAUCGGGAGGAACAUCUGUGGCGAAGGCGGCCAUCUGGACCAGCACUGACACUGAGGCACGAAAGCGUGGGGAGCAAACAGG
This 253-nucleotide ribosomal RNA is filed under the name uncultured bacterium. Its description in RNAcentral is "partial 16S ribosomal RNA". It matches the Rfam family "Bacterial small subunit ribosomal RNA", at positions 524 to 776 of the family's 1533-position model. The record is from RNAcentral.